AGUGCUGGAGCGAAUAGAAGUGAGCAUGCAGGCAUGAGUAGCGAUAAUUAAUGUGAGAAUCAUUAACGCCGUAAACCCAAGGUUUCCUACGCGAUGCUCGUCAUCGUAGGGUUAGUCGGGUCCUAAGUCGAGUCCGAAAGGGGUAGACGAUGGCAAAUUGGUUAAUAUUCCAAUACCAACAUUAGUGUGCGAUGGAAGGACGCUUAGGGCUAAGGGGGCUAGCGGAUGGAAGUGCUAGUCUAAGGUCGUAGGAGGUUAUACAGGCAAAUCCGUAUAACAAUACUCCGAGAACUGAAAGGCUUUUUGAAGUCUUCGGAUGGAUAGAAGAACCCCUGAUGCCGUCGAGCCAAGAAAAGUUUCUAAGUUUAGCUAAUGUUGCCCGUACCGUAAACCGACACAGGUGGGUGGGAUGAGUAUUCUAAGGCGCGUGGAAGAACUCUCUUUAAGGAACUCUGCAAAAUAGCACCGUAUCUUCGGUAUAAGGUGUGGUUCGCUUCGUAUUAGGAUUUACUCCGAAAGCGAAGAAACUUACAACAAAGAGUCCCUCCCGACUGUUUACCAAAAACACAGCACUCUGCUAACUCGUAAGAGGAUGUAUAGGGUGUGACGCCUGCCCGGUGCUCGAAGGUUAAUUGAUGGGGUUAGCAUUAGCGAAGCUCUUGAUCGAAGCCCGAGUAAACGGCGGCCGUAACUAUAACGGUCCUAAGGUAGCGAAAUUCCUUGUCGGUUAAAUACCGACCUGCAUGAAUGGCGUAACGAGAUGGGAGCUGUCUCAAAGAGGGAUCCAGUGAAAUUGUAGUGGAGGUGAAAAUUCCUCCUACCCGCGGCAAGACGGAAAGACCCCGUGGACCUUUACUACAGCUUGACACUGCUAUUUGGAUAAGAAUGUGCAGGAUAGGUGGGAGGCUUUGAGUAUAUGACGCCAGUUGUAUAUGAGCCAUUGUUGAGAUACCACUCUUUCUUAUUUGGGUAGCUAACCAGCUUGAGUUAUCCUCAAGUGGGACAAUGUCUGGUGGGUAGUUUGACUGGGGCGGUCGCCUCCCAAAUAAUAACGGAGGCUUACAAAGGUUGGCUCAGAACGGUUGGAAAUCGUUCGUAGAGUAUAAAGGUAUAAGCCAGCUUAACUGCAAGACAUACAAGUCAAGCAGAGACGAAAGUCGGUCUUAGUGAUCCGGUGGUUCUGUGUGGAAGGGCCAUCGCUCAAAGGAUAAAAGGUACCCCGGGGAUAACAGGCUGAUCUCCCCCAAGAGCUCACAUCGACGGGGAGGUUUGGCACCUCGAUGUCGGCUCAUCGCAUCCUGGGGCUGGAGCAGGUCCCAAGGGUAUGGCUGUUCGCCAUUUAAAGCGGUACGCGAGCUGGGUUCAGAACGUCGUGAGACAGUUCGGUCCCUAUCUGCCGUGGGCGUAAGAAGAUUGAAGAGAUUUGACCCUAGUACGAGAGGACCGGGUUGAACAAACCACUGGUGUAGCUGUUGUUCUGCCAAGAGCAUCGCAGCGUAGCUAAGUUUGGAAAGGAUAAACGCUGAAAGCAUCUAAGCGUGAAGCCAACUCUAAGAUGAAUCUUCUCUAAGCUCUCUAGAAGACUACUAGUUUGAUAGGCUGGGUGUGUAAUGGAUGAAAGUCCUUUAGCUGACCAGUACUAAUAGAGCGUUUGGCUUAUCUUUAAUAAAGCAU
Molecule: ribosomal RNA, 1674 nt
Filed under: Campylobacter coli
Lineage: Bacteria; Pseudomonadati; Campylobacterota; Epsilonproteobacteria; Campylobacterales; Campylobacteraceae
Description: partial 23S ribosomal RNA
Rfam family: Bacterial large subunit ribosomal RNA
Source: RNAcentral